AUUUUCUUUCUCUUUCCCUUCAUUUUUAUUUCCCUCCUAGCCAACCCUAACUUUCCCUUUUCACGAUCCGCACACGCGCGAAAUAAUUUCCCCUUUUUCACUUCGCGCGCGAACGCGAACCCUCUUUCCCCUUCGCCUCUUUCCGCUUCUUCGCCGCUUCUUCGCCGCAGAGUUAGGGUUCCCCUUUGCUCGGAACCCUUCGCCUCUUUCCGCUUCUUCGCCGCUUAACUCUGCGCAAAACCCUAACUUCGCCGCCUCUUUCCGCUUCGCCACUUCGCCCCAAUCCUGUCGGACCUCCUUAAUUUCUCCCUUCUCUAACUCCCAUCGCCUUCUCCGAGCUCUGAGGAUGCCCUAGCUCCGCCGCUUCGCCGGAGCUCCACCCGAGGCCGGAUCUCCACCCGAGCGCCCUCACACCGCCGGAGUUCUACCAAACUCGCGCCUUCCUCAACCUGCUGCGACCUUUUUGUCUGUUUACUGAGCAAAGUUACACAUUUACUUACCUCCUCUGUUAACUACUAAUUAUACUUAUAGUCCAAGUCAUUACACCUCUUUGCCUCUUUCCCCUUCGCCUCUUUCCGCUUCUUCGCCGCUUCUUCGCCGCAGAGUUAGGGUUCCCCUUUGCUCGGAACCCUUCGCCUCUUUCCGCUUCUUCGCCGCUUAACUCUGCGCAAAACCCUAACUUCGCCGCCUCUUUCCGCUUCGCCACUUCGCCCCAAUCCUGUCGGACCUCCUUAAUUUCUCCCUUCUCUAAC
Molecule: long non-coding RNA, 752 nt
Filed under: Ananas comosus (pineapple)
Lineage: Eukaryota; Viridiplantae; Streptophyta; Magnoliopsida; Poales; Bromeliaceae
Description: long non-coding RNA (ACOM_LNC043619)
Source: RNAcentral